AGUACUUCUGGGUUUUCUUGGAAUCUGGCGGAUCACCCAAAGCUUCCCAAACGGUAGACCGCAACCGUCGCGGUUUUAGAUGGAUGGAUAGGUGUUCUUGGUUGCUUUAGAUGGGUUCUUCCGAGACCGUGUUGGGAAGAAUGAGUGGCUUGGAGUUUUCUUGAAAACUGGAGGACACUGAGUCUUCCGGACGAGGGGAUCGGCGGUGGCGGUUAUAGACGGGAAGCAUUUCGGGAAGAUGAAUAUGACGUUUCCGUGGGAACUGGCGGGCGGACCACCCGACGCCUUUCGAGGGGAAGACGGCGGCCGUCGUGGCUUUCGAUGGAUGGAUGGGUGGGUACGUGUUCUUGAUUUCUCUGUUGUGUUCUUUGUUGGAGUCGUCUGACAGAACUGGCGGACCACCCGAGGCUUCCCGAUGGGAAGACGACGGCGGCGGCCGUCGUGGUCUUGUACGGACAUUUACGUGUUCUUGCAGGCAGUCUUCGAUGUGUUGUUAGCAGAGCAGAGCAGAGCAGAGCAGAGCACUAUAGGAAGGGUGGUUAGAUCGGGGUUUUCUUGGCAACCGGCAGAGACCCGAGGCUUCCCAGUGCCAGCCAUAUGUUUGGUGAUGUAUGGAUUGGCGUUGGUUGCUCAAUUGAGCAAGGAUUGGUAGUAUCUUUAGUUUAUCUGGAUUCAUGUACAGAGCAAGCAUCUUUCUACAUUAUUAAGCACUUUUGCUCGAAUAAUUCUAAAAUUCUGAGACAUUAGAUUCAGUAGUUUUAUGCAUUUGGCUUUAGCAGUUUUAGAUAAGUUAAGCAAAGUCCAAAAAUAACCACCUCGUCACCUUAG
RNAcentral lists this long non-coding RNA (828 nucleotides) under Musa acuminata (dwarf banana). RNAcentral describes it as "long non-coding RNA (MACU_LNC002952)". Lineage: Eukaryota; Viridiplantae; Streptophyta; Magnoliopsida; Zingiberales; Musaceae. The record is from RNAcentral.